UACGAAGGGGGCUAGCGUUGCUCGGAAUCACUGGGCGUAAAGCGCACGUAGGCGGAUUCCUAAGUCGGGGGUGAAAUCCUGGAGCUCAACUCCAGAACUGCCUUCGAUACUGGGAAUCUUGAGUCCGGAAGAGGUGAGUGGAACUGCGAGUGUAGAGGUGAAAUUCGUAUAUAUUCGCAAGAACACCAGUGGCGAAGGCGGCUCACUGGUCCGGUACUGACGCUGAGGUGCGAAAGCGUGGGGAGCAAACGGG
Molecule: ribosomal RNA, 253 nt
Filed under: uncultured bacterium
Lineage: Bacteria
Description: partial 16S ribosomal RNA
Rfam family: Bacterial small subunit ribosomal RNA
Source: RNAcentral